UACGAAGGGGGCGAGCGUUGCUCGGAAUUACUGGGCGUAAAGGGCGCGUAGGCGGAUACUUAAGUCGGGGGUGAAAGCCCGGGGCUCAACCUCGGAAUUGCCUUCGAUACUGGGUAUCUUGAGUUCGGGAGAGGUGAGUGGAAUGCCGAGUGUAGAGGUGAAAUUCGUAGAUAUUCGGCGGAACACCAGUGGCGAAGGCGACUCACUGGCCCGAUACUGACGCUGAUGCGCGAAAGCGUGGGGAGCAAACAGG
RNAcentral lists this ribosomal RNA (253 nucleotides) under uncultured bacterium. Its description in RNAcentral is "partial 16S ribosomal RNA". It matches the Rfam family "Bacterial small subunit ribosomal RNA", at positions 524 to 776 of the family's 1533-position model. The record is from RNAcentral.